This 465-nucleotide ribosomal RNA is filed under the name uncultured bacterium. RNAcentral describes it as "partial 16S ribosomal RNA". It matches the Rfam family "Bacterial small subunit ribosomal RNA", at positions 28 to 507 of the family's 1533-position model. The record is from RNAcentral.
GACGAACGCUGGCGGCGUGCUUAACACAUGCCAGUCGUACGGUAAGGCCCUUUCGGGGGUACACAAGUGGCGAACGGGUGAGUAACACGUGAGUAACCUGCCCACAACUUUGGGAUAACGCUAGGAAACUGGUGCUAAUACUGGAUAUGUGCCCCUGCUGCAUGGUGGGGGUUGGAAAGCUCCGGCGGUUGUGGAUGGACUCGCGGCCUAUCAGCUUGUUGGUGGGGUAGUGGCCUACCAAGGCGGCGACGGGUAGCCGGCCUGAGAGGGUGACCGGCCACAUUGGGACUGAGAUACGGCCCAGACUCCUACGGGAGGCAGCAGUGGGGAAUAUUGCACAAUGGGCGCAAGCCUGAUGCAGCAACGCCGCGUGCGGGAUGACGGCCUUCGGGUUGUAAACCGCUUUCAGCAGGGACGAAGCUUUUUGUGACGGUACCUGCAGAAGAAGCACCGGCUAACUACGUG